GAGCUUCCUUUUUGUACCUGGACUCCAAAUUCAUGGGGGGCCACGAGAGAUAGCAUUAAUCAUUUUUCUUUUGGCUUUGAAAAAGGAACAAACAGAUAGAAGGCAGAACGACUCUAGUUUUUAGCUUUAGCAUAGUUUAGUUUUUUUCUUUCUAGGUUCCUUUGAUGCACUCCGGGUGUUCGACAAUAUUCCCAACAGGGAAAACACCCUCUACUUCUUGCUUUCUAGUGACAGACGCGAUGCUUUUACAAUCAA
RNAcentral lists this long non-coding RNA (255 nucleotides) under Coffea arabica (coffee). Its description in RNAcentral is "long non-coding RNA (CARA_LNC002454)". The record is from RNAcentral. Lineage: Eukaryota; Viridiplantae; Streptophyta; Magnoliopsida; Gentianales; Rubiaceae.